RNA transcript from Daphnia pulex (common water flea), 811 nucleotides. RefSeq lists it as uncharacterized. NCBI's taxonomy places the organism in Eukaryota, Metazoa, Arthropoda, Branchiopoda, Diplostraca, Daphniidae. The transcript has 3 exons. The record is from RefSeq and is a predicted model, not a curated record.
CACCAUGAAAGAACAACAUCGGCGACACUAGCGACAUCUAGUAAUGAGUUUUGAAUCUUUAGUUGGUUGCACAGUCAAGUCACAGACAGACAUGACAGUUCACGUCAAAAAAGUUUAACAACGGAGAUCGGAUAGCAAGUUAACUGUUUUUAAAUAAUUUCAGCUGAAGUUUUCAUGUACCUUGUCAACUAGGUGCUUGUGACUGAAAUGAAAUGAUCUAAUCCAAAAAUGCAAGCUCACAACCUACGUCUUCUGAAGAAAAAUAAUUUCUGUUGCAGUUGUAAAUCUUCAAGAUGUUGAUGCCUUCGCCAGAUCCUGAUGAGAGAGAGAGAAUUCAUCAUUUUGUGUGCAACAGUUUUAAUUAUUUUUAUUUCUAAUUUAAAUUUUGCUUUAGAUUUUGCCGAAUGAGAACCAUUUUGUUGCCCAUCCACUGGAUCCAUCCAAGGAUAAGGAAAAGGCCAACACCACCAACACUGUCAACAAGGUUCUUUGUUUGUUUACCCCUUGGCUGGUGAAAGAUUGUUGUGCAUCAAGUUAACCUGUGGCUGUUCCUUGUUGCUGGUGUCUUGUUACAAAAGCAGGCAGUAUUUUGUUCAAUUUGCAUUAUGUCUGUAGAUUUACAGCUAGUUUAAGUUUUAGCUUCACCUUCUUCUUCGUUCCAGUCUAAUUCACACAUGUAUUUUUUCAGCCAUGGUCUGUUGGAUUUGACUUGUACAAUUUUCUUUAUUGGUAUAAUUAUGAUUAGACUUAACUCUUGUAAAUAACGUAAAGUGAGAUUUAUUUGUCUUUUCAUUGACAGCAUUUCCAUUGA